CAAACGAGUUGACUUACUGUAGUUGUAGAAUAUAUCUCUUUUUUUCUGAAGUUUUAUUGCGCCUUUGACUUGAAUCUUAUCAUCAGUUGUCGGCUCAGCUUGCUUUAGUGCGGUUGUGUUGGGAAGUUGAGAAGGCUGCGUAAGGAGUUCCAAUAGUUUAAAUAUAUCAUACACAAAUUAAUCAUUAAGUUAUAAUAUUAUUUAUCACCUUAUUUUUAAACAUUUUCUUGAAUUUACAAAUUGAAAUACACAGGUUUAAUUAUCACAAAUAUUCCAUAGGUUUACUACUUUGACAGAUAUACAUCAAAUUUUUGUAUAAGUUCUUGCCCUCAUUUUUUUUAAACAUAUAUAUAGUCCUCUUAGAUUAUACUGACUUUCUCUAAUUUCGAACAGCCUCUGGAUACAAUUUGGAAGUAAAUUAUUAUAUACCUUAUACGUUCCCUGUAAACAAGCCUGCACUGGCCCUUUACGGGCCCACUUAGGGCUGCCAGCGCAAGGACCCUGAGAAUUUGCUCAUUGGCAAAACGUUGGUCCCUUAGCAAUUGGCCCUGCAUGGCCCUAACUUAGCCUCCAGGAAGCCUUAGAGCUGUUUAAUUUAAAAGCAGAGCAGAGUGAGCGUUUUCAGUUAAUUCCUAUGGAAGCUCAACUUCCAUAAAUGAACUGAAAACGCUCGCUCUGUGCCACUCGCUCUGCACCAGUGGAUACACACAGUUAUGUGCACGUCACUGACUGUCCGGGCACCCACUUCCAUGUUUCAGAGUUCCACCUUUUACUUUCCGUCAACAUUAUGUUAUCAAUUAACAUUUAUAAAAUAGAUUUUUGACAUUUGUGGAUCAAUUCAGAAUCGUCUGCUUCUGCAUUGCGAUGCAUUUAAGAAUCUAAUUUUUAUCCCACCCCUACUAAAUAGAAUAUAUAAUGUAAAUGUAAAAAUCUGAAAUAGAAAAAAAAAAUGGUAUAGGUAAAAAUUCCUAUUGUCACAUGUGAUAUUGAUUGUUUUAGGAGACACUUUGACAAGUGGGCACUGGUUGCUGAGUAUUGAAGGCGAGGUUGUGUGUGAGGGCAUUCAGCCCAGUUUCCUGUCCGGCCUUGCCACUCUGAGUACCAGGAGGAAGCAGUGUGUACCUUGGAGUUCAUUCAAAGGUGCUUUGUGGGCAUUAAUCCGGAGAGAGGAUCCAAAGCAAAGGGAAACGUGCCAUCGAAAAAAACAGGACAAAUUAUACAGAAGAAAUAGGGCUGGGUGAUAUAUCGCAUGCGAUUGUCAUGCGAAUUUCGUCAGUAAAGCCGGUUCCCUGAUUAGCG
Cyprinus carpio (common carp) is the source of this 1299-nucleotide long non-coding RNA. Lineage: Eukaryota; Metazoa; Chordata; Actinopteri; Cypriniformes; Cyprinidae. The record is from Ensembl.